Molecule: ribosomal RNA, 272 nt
Filed under: uncultured bacterium
Lineage: Bacteria
Description: partial 16S ribosomal RNA
Rfam family: Bacterial small subunit ribosomal RNA
Source: RNAcentral
CUUAGUGACUGAGCGGCGGACGGGUGAGUAACGCGUGGGUAACCUGCCUCAUACAGGGGGAUAACAGUUAGAAAUGACUGCUAAUACCGCAUAAGGCCACAGCACCGCAUGGUGCAGGGGUAAAAACUCCGGUGGUAUGAGAUGGACCCGCGUCUGAUUAGGUAGUUGGCGGGGUAACGGCCCACCAAGACUACGAUGGAUAGGGGUUCUGAGAGGAAGGUCCCCCACAUUGGAACUGAGACACGGUCCAAACUCCUACGGGAGGCAGCAUG